AUUGGGCUAGUUGAAAUUCUAAAGUUCUCAAAGCGGCAUGAUUGUUUUCCCAAUGCAAGUAUUGCAUAUAGAGUUUUGUUUAACCAUCCUGUGACUGUUGCAUCAACGGAACUAAGCUUUUCUAAAUUGAAACUAUUAAAGUGUUAUAUGUGCACUACCAUGACACAACAAAUACUUGUUUGGCCACAAUAG
RNAcentral lists this ribosomal RNA (192 nucleotides) under Triticum aestivum (bread wheat). RNAcentral's name for it is "partial small subunit ribosomal RNA". Lineage: Eukaryota; Viridiplantae; Streptophyta; Magnoliopsida; Poales; Poaceae. The record is from RNAcentral.